Vicugna pacos (alpaca) is the source of this 1911-nucleotide non-coding RNA. The record is from RefSeq and is a predicted model, not a curated record. NCBI's taxonomy places the organism in Eukaryota, Metazoa, Chordata, Mammalia, Artiodactyla, Camelidae.
UCUCCGGUUGGCGCCGAGGAGGCGGGACCGGCUGGCAGUGAGAGGCGCGGCCUAGAGCGGCGGGAGGCGCGUCCAGCCCAAGCGAGGGAUCCAGUCCGCCCUGAGGUCCUCAGGGAGGCCAGUGGUUGGGAAUCCCCGGGUCGUGGGAGGGCGCUGCGCCGUCCUGUGGGUUCCGCCUGCGCCGCUCGGCCCGUCUGGGUCACAGACACCACCGCCCGAGCCAACGUUACGUGCAGAUCAUUCUGCAAACCGGCAAUUCCAGCAAAGCAAACUUACACCUCAUACCCUGGGUUCACGUCCACCUCACUGACAGGCCGAGGAUAAAGGCCUCGGAGCCAGCGAGGAGACGCAGACUUCAGUCUUUUGGGGAAUGGGGUGGGGUUUGGUUAGGCCUGCUCAGCUCAGAUGUAAAAUUACAAGACACGUAACCCGGGACCUAGGAGUGUGGGCCGCACGGGCGGCGCUCUGUGGCUGAGGGCCAUCUCGGGAGAUGCAGUUAUUUUUGCUUUUUGAGGGUUAGUUCUUCCUGCUUGGACGCUUUUGGAAGCACGGGAAGCACAUGGGGUCUAACUAGGGGAGGUGCCUCCCAAGCCUUCCUCCUCUGCCGAGGGUGUGCCUGGCAGGGACGGGCCCUUUCCACGUGGGUGACAGGGGCAAAGGCCCCGGCUGGACUCGGAAGGGCCCACUGCUUUGCUAGGAAGAUCGCCCAUCCUUCGAACUUCACCUUUCUCGGAAGGAAAAAAAUCUUCGCAGUUUACCUAGAACGGUGAUUUUUCAGGAAAUGGUCAAAGCUGCUUAUAAUCCACAGAAACCACACUCACAAACAGGAGAAGAAGCAAAGCAAGACAAGAAAGCAAGCAUGAAAGUGUGUUAUCGAGAACAGCUCUGCACCCAGCCUGAGCCUGGGGGUCCUGGGUGACCCUGAGCGGCAGCCAUUGCCAGCCCCAGGACAUGGGCAGGGACACAGGGUCACGGCCCCCACAGCAGGGCAGGAAACCAGGAAUCAGGACACUCUCAGCAGCAGGCCCUCGGCGGUGAGUGCCGGUAAUAGGGUCCGGCCCUGGGACCCUCAGACAGCCAGGAGCGCUGGGGCACCAACCGUGACCUGGGGCCGGGACAGGGCCGUCUCCUCACACCUCACGGCCCGCACUCGACGGGCACACUGGCCAUGCUGGUUAGUCCAGCGGCUUCUCUCCCUCUUCCAAGUCAGGGAAGGAGGGGUCACAGGCUGGAGUCCAUCUCCCAGGGCAGGCUGCAGGAACGGUCUGGCUGGGGCCGCGCUCCCAGGGAGACAACAGUGCCCAGGACCCGGUCUCUCGUGACCCGAGCUGUGGGUGGGAGAAGCGGCUGCCCGACGGCCAGGGUAUGGCGUGCCGGACACCCUCCUGGGAGGACGUCUUGCAGACGGGAAUGAAUGCAGGCUGAGGUCGGAGCCCUUUGGUGGUUCAAGGUCCUGUUGAACAAGACUCGGGUGCCUCAGGGAGCUGAGCCUCGGGGUCCCAGCAGCCCAGCCGGGGCGCCGCCCUGACCACCACCACGAGCACAGGAGCACAGCAGUCUGACGCCCUCACCCUCACCGAGAGGGCCGGCCGAGACCUCCACGGGUGCAGGCAGUGGAGCUGGGGAGGGAGCAGGAGGGACUGCGCUCAGCAGCAGGUUCUGCACCCCAGGGGCCGCACUACAUCCCUGCCAGCGGCUGUGGCCUAGGGAUCCCUGAGACCCUGGAGAGGGUCGGGGGGCCUGUUGGGUGGGUGGGCUGGGCGGCCGCCAGGAAAGGAGACUGUGGACAUUCAGAGGCUGGUCACCCAGGGAGAUGGCAGCCACUCCGCCCGCCCUCGGCCCGACUUGAAAGAAGUGAGAACAGACAGAAUUCAAAGACGCCAACAAAAGAGCUUCCUGUUGACACCGACA